AUGAAAAUAGACAGAGAGACUGCAGAUUUUGCAGCGCCGACGGGGAAAGCAUGGGAAUGUGAAACUCUCAGGCAAAAGGAUGUUUAUGGGACG
RNAcentral lists this non-coding RNA (93 nucleotides) under unidentified. Its description in RNAcentral is "Listeriaceae bacterium Glycine sequence". It matches the Rfam family "Glycine riboswitch aptamer". Rfam says of the family: This family represents the bacterial glycine riboswitch. Glycine riboswitches usually consist of two metabolite-binding aptamers domains with similar structures in tandem. The aptamers cooperatively bind glycine to regulate the expression of downstream genes. The record is from RNAcentral.